Molecule: ribosomal RNA, 465 nt
Filed under: uncultured bacterium
Lineage: Bacteria
Description: partial 16S ribosomal RNA
Rfam family: Bacterial small subunit ribosomal RNA
Source: RNAcentral
GACGAACGCUGGCGGCGUGCUUAACACAUGCAAGUCGAACGGAAAGGCCCUGCUUGCAGGGUACUCGAGUGGCGAACGGGUGAGUAACACGUGGGUGAUCUGCCCUGCACUUCGGGAUAAGCCUGGGAAACUGGGUCUAAUACCGGAUAGGAGCCAUUUUUAGUGUGAUGGUUGGAAAGUUUUUUCGGUGUAGGAUGAGCUCGCGGCCUAUCAGCUUGUUGGUGGGGUAAUGGCCUACCAAGGCGGCGACGGGUAGCCGGCCUGAGAGGGUGGACGGCCACAUUGGGACUGAGAUACGGCCCAGACUCCUACGGGAGGCAGCAGUGGGGAAUAUUGCACAAUGGGCGCAAGCCUGAUGCAGCGACGCCGCGUGGGGGAGGACGGCCUUCGGGUUGUAAACUCCGUUCGCUAGGGACGAAGCUUUUUGUGACGGUACCUAGAGAAGAAGCACCGGCUAACUACGUG